UACGUAGGGUGCAAGCGUUAAUCGGAAUUACUGGGCGUAAAGCGCGCGCAGGCGGCUUUGCAAGUCAGGGGUGAAAUCCCAGAGCUCAACUCUGGAAUUGCCUUUGAGACUGUGAGGCUUCGAGUACGGGAGAGGUGAGUGGAAUUCCCAGUGUAGAGGUGAAAUUCGUAGAUAUUGGGAAGAACACCGGUGGCGAAGGCGGCUCACUGGCCCGUUACUGACGCUCAGGCGCGACAGCGUGGGGAUCAAACAGG
RNAcentral lists this ribosomal RNA (254 nucleotides) under uncultured bacterium. Its description in RNAcentral is "partial 16S ribosomal RNA". It matches the Rfam family "Bacterial small subunit ribosomal RNA", at positions 524 to 776 of the family's 1533-position model. The record is from RNAcentral.